This is a long non-coding RNA of Hylaeus anthracinus, 779 nucleotides long. RefSeq lists it as uncharacterized. The transcript is spliced from 3 exons. Lineage: Eukaryota; Metazoa; Arthropoda; Insecta; Hymenoptera; Colletidae. The record is from RefSeq and is a predicted model, not a curated record.
GGGUGUCCCGUUUGGACUCCGUCCAAUUGGACUCGUCCCGAUUGGACUAUUCCGAUUGGACGCGUUCCUCUUCGACUCCGUGCCGAUUGGGCUCGUGCCGGUUGGACGCUGUUCCCAAUUGGACGCGUUCCUUUUCGACUCCGUGCUAUUUAGACACGUUCCUUUUCGUCUCCGGGCGAUUGGACUCAUGUUGACUUGGAAUCGUGACAUUUAUAAGCCGUAAAUAUAGUGCGUAUAAUAAACAUUGCUUUUUCAAUGCUACUUAUGGUGGUAUAGUAUUGUGAUCUAUAUAGUUAAAUAUGGUUUGAAAUUUAUUAAAUUUGGAUCUGAUACAAAAUGUUACGUGAUUUGUUUAUAACUUGUGUGUGAUAUUAUUACGUGGUUUUACAGAAGCGAAUAGGUAACGAAAAAGUUUCCGUGUCACCGUGGAAAAAGAAAUCUAAAAAUUCUGUUUAUAUAGGUUAGAGUGAGGGAUAGUUUACUGCCUGUUAUUAAUACAGUCAGACAUAAUUCUACCAGAUUCUGCAAGGAGUUAUGAACAGGAUACAGUAUUGUUGCCUUGUAUUACAUAUGUCCAUGCAUUAGAUCCAUAGUACACUUUACCAAUGCAAUAUGGCAAUGUACUUCUAUACCGCUAUCUUUUUAAUGUGAUACUUACCUAUUUCCAACAAGAAGUGGACCAUAAAGCAUCCUUCAAUGAGAAAGAUGAUUAAGAUGAUAAUAAAUCAGAUCAAUGAACGUGACACGGAACUCUUUUUAGUGGGAUUGUAUAUUUGAAG